CCAGGGCUUAACUGACUGGUUGGUCCAAGAUAGUUCAUUCACAACUCUGGUGCCUUGGCAGGGACAGAUGGAAGGCUGGCACCAGCCAGGAUUCUGGGACAGCUGAGCCACUUUCUCACCCUAUAUAGUCUCAGGUCUAAUCUCUUUCCAUAUGACCUCUCCAUGUGGUAUUUCCAGCAGGGUAACUGGACUUCUUAAAUGGCAGGUUCCUCACAAAAGAAGAAACUUCCAGGCUUUCUUAAGGCUUAGGCUCAGUAACUGACACAGUGUCACUUCCAUUUCAUUGUAUGAGUUAGUGAGUCUCAGGGCCAGUCCAGAGUCAAUAUGGGACUAGACUGCAUAGCAGCGUGAGAGGCAUGGUCUAUUGAGAGCCAUCUUGGGAAAGUGACUACUGCAUUGAUAUUCAUUCUAUCGAAUGUGGAAAUGAUACUUGAUAUAUUAAAUCAUGCUUUGUGGAAGAAAACGUGUUGCCUUAUUAGUUCUGUGAAUCAUCAAGAUGCAUAGAUAUUGGGAGCAUCUAGAAGCUACACAUAUCCAGUGAAUCUAAGUGUUUCAAAAACAUGAUCAGGACCUCUAGGGGGGGAAAUCACAUUUUAUUCAAUGGUUACAUACACAAGAAAUAAAGCUCAGUAAAUAGAUGGGUAAAUUUAAUAUUCUCAGUAUAGCAAGUUAGUAAUAUCAUGUAUUGGAUAUUUAUUAAGAAUAGGCACUGGGCCAUCAUUAUUUAUACAUGAUUUUACUUAAUCUUCACAAAUACUCUAUGGGGCAAGUAUUAUUACCUCAAAUUUCCACAUGAGAAACUAAAGUUCCACGAGAUUUUGUAACUUGCCUAAGAUUGAACAUGUAGUAAUUGGAUGAGUCAAGAUGUAUACCUAAAUUGACCUGAUAUUGAAACCCUUGUGUUUUUAAACUCUUAUCAUUUUACUUGUUUUGUCUUUGCUCACUGUUUUCUUAAAUUGUUACAGAAUAAUCAUCCUUUUAAGUGGAAACAAGAGCCACAUCUCAUAUUCCCAUCUCUAAAGAUUUAGAACCCAUUUCCUACUUAGACAGCCUGCUGAAGUCAAGAUUUUAAAAUCCAGUUUUUAUCUUGGCAUGAUAGUCCAGACCAUUUCCCAGAGCUCUCAUAUCUACAAACAUAUGCCUCUGUGCUUAAACUUGAACUUCUUCCAAACCCCAAGGUUAUUAGUGAGUAAAAUCCUCCUUCUGGUUUUAUCUAGGCAUCUGGAAAGUUUCCCUUUGGCACUAGAGCCAUGAAUCACAACUUCUCAUUCGUGCCAUCUAAGGACAGAGAAAUGGAAUACCUGUGCUUGCAUUUUGUGGUAACGUGAUUUUGGAAACGUCUCACCAAAAAUCAGAACUGGAGAAGAGAAUAAACAUACCGAUUACUUGCAUGGCCGGUUCCACGUCUGUUGUGGCCUCUUCCAACAAUGACAGCAGCUUGGCUGAUAUCUGAUGCACGGAUUCAAUGUUGCUAAACAAGCUAUCCACGUCCAGCCGAUCAAUCUGAAGAAACACAAACACUGAGCACCAGCUGAUGGAGAGAGACGCAAUGUAUUUAGGACAUUUUCUCCUGCUAAACAGCUAACUUGUGUCUUCCUGGACUGAAAAGACAUGAAUCAGACUUAGAGAAAGAAAUCAUGGAGGAGGUACAAUACAGCAAAGAUAGUCUUCUCACCAAGAGGAAAGACACGGACCGGAUGACUUCCCAAAGUUCUCUUCCACUCUAACUUGUACAUGUAUAAUAUUUAUUUACGUUGCCUCGGGUUUCUCAGCAUGGUUUGCAGAUCGUUCCCCUGGUUACAUAAACACUGUCUAUAUUAAUUUAUAAAUUUCGACACUAACUGGUGACAAGCGGUUUGUAUGCAAAGACUUUGGUAUUUAAACGGUUAGAAAGGAAGCGAGGACACGAAGGAGCUAAUGAACAUCGAAAAGGUGGCAAAUAAACUCAUGGCAUAAAUUAACUACCUUGGCAUUCAUAGACGUUUCGUCUGAAUUCCUAAGCAUCUAUUUAAAGUUUUUUGUUUUGUUUUUUUUUAGAGAGAGAGAAAGAGAGGGCACAAACAGGGGAAGGGCAGAAAGAGAGGGAGAGAGAAAUCCAUGCAGGCUCUACACUGUCAGCGCUGAGCCUGUUGUGGGGCUUGAAUCCACGAACCAUGAGAUCAUGACAUGAACUGAAAUCAAGAAUCAGAUGCUUAACUGACUGAGCCACCCAGGCACCCCUUGAGCAUCUAUUUACUUAGUCAAGAUUAAAACAUUAAGAAGUGAGGGGAAAGGUGGGUCUGACAUGAGAAUUCUGAAAAACCUCUGAAUAACUAGUAUUUCAACAUUAGUAGAGAGGACAAAGUGACCACUAGACUGAAACCAAUGUCGACAAUGAGACCAGACAGAGAGCACUGAAAAGAUAUCUAAACAAAGAGACAAGUACCAGAUGUGAAAAAUGAGCAAGGUAUAAACAAUCUGAAUAGAAUAACAAGGGGAAAAUAGGAGUUUGAAGUGCGAGAACAGUAAUUCAAAGUAUUGAAGAGUAAGUUAAACAUGCUAAAUAAACUACAUGUCACCACGACGGAAACGUUUUAUUUUACAUGGUUGAAACACCAAUUCUGAGAACUGCUUGUAAAGGUUACACAAGAAGCAAAAAAUAAGAAAAACAACAAAAGCCAAAACACAAAGAUUGGAAUGCAUAUAAAAGAUUACAGCUGAGCAAUGGCACAUAUAUUGGUGGGGCCAGUUUAAUUCACCAGUGUGGUAGAUGGUUUAAAGUUGAGAACAUUUGCACAUUAAAUAAACUUCUUAUUCCAUUUGAUACAAAA
Long non-coding RNA from Neofelis nebulosa (Clouded leopard), 2810 nucleotides. RefSeq lists it as uncharacterized. The record is from RefSeq and is a predicted model, not a curated record. NCBI's taxonomy places the organism in Eukaryota, Metazoa, Chordata, Mammalia, Carnivora, Felidae. The transcript has 3 exons.